Long non-coding RNA from Carassius carassius (crucian carp), 503 nucleotides. RefSeq lists it as uncharacterized. The record is from RefSeq and is a predicted model, not a curated record. The transcript has 2 exons. Lineage: Eukaryota; Metazoa; Chordata; Actinopteri; Cypriniformes; Cyprinidae.
GGAUUUCAUAAAGUGCUGUGUUUAUGACAGAGGGGAGGGAAGAGCACGAGCAGAGAGUAGAAGUGCAGGGUUCACUGUGCGAGAGGGACUGAGUGGACACAGAGCGCGCGCUGUCUGACCACUGCUUCAUCGCGAGGAAGAGGAUGAGGAGCUUUCUGUAGAGACACGCUUUAGCUCGAUGUGAACUCUGUGUAACCUCAGGGAACACGACAUCCCUGUCCCUGGAGGAAAGAUGUGCUACUCCAAUGUUUGUAGAAGUUUCGUGAGGAACUCUAAAUUCUUGAGGUGUGAAAGGCGCAUUUUCCUUCAGUGGCAUCAUUCUCACUGCACUGUGAUACGCUCAGAGAGUGUGUGUGUGUGUGUGUGUGUGUGUGUGUGUGUGUGUGUGCAGCUCUUUAGCGACACCUGCCGGAUCAAUCACGCGCCGCGGUGAAUCCACUGGAAACUCCAGCUAAAUUAAAAUAAAGAAACACUGAUAUCGUGAGAGAGAAUACAGAUAUCAA